GCCUGUGAUGGGCUCAUUAGUAGACCGGACACAGCUGAGGAGAGACUCUGUGCUUGACGCUCUCUCGGUAGAAACUUCCAAAACCUUAUCUGUAGAAGAACAAAGAUAAGAAUUACAUCUGCCUUCUCAGAAACCAUGCAAGCAAGAAGAGGAGUAAAAUAUUGAAAGUGUUGAGAGAAAAUAACCAUCAACCUUGGAUUCUGUAACCUGAGAAAUCAUCCUUCAAAAGUGAAUGAGAAAUUACGACUUUCUCAGACAAAACAAUUAAGGGAAUUAGCUGCCAGUAGAUCUACCUUGCAAGAAAUGUUGAAAGAAGUUCUUUACAGAGAAGGAAUGUAAUAUAGGGCAUAAACUUGGAUCUACAUAAAAAAGGGAAGAAAAUUGAAGAAGGAAUAAAUGAAGUUUGGCACCAUAACUCGGAUUAGACUAGAAGCCCACCUCCAGACUCCACCCUCUCCACCCACGUGCUGAGGUCUCUUGAGCCUGUUGUGUUCCUUCCCUGACUGGCAAUUCAGGGAUCCCACAGAAGAUUAGCCCUGAGCUAACAUCUGCUGUCAAUCCUCCUCUUUUGCUGUGGAAGACUGGCCCUGAGCUUACAUCUGUGCCCAUCUCCCUCUACUUUAUAUGUGGGACUCCUGCCACAGCAUGGCUUGCCAAGCUGUGCCAUGUCUGCACCCAGGAUCCAAACUGGCGGGCCCCGGGCUGCUGAAGCGGAAUGUGCAAACUUAACUGCUGCGCCACCGGGCCGACCCCUCUACAUAGUAUCUUUUAAGUUUUGUCUGUUGUCGUUCUUAUAUAAAAGCAGUCCUACUUUUUAAUUUUGUGCGACUUGCUCUUUUUGGCAACAAUAUUUGCUGGAAAUUUAUCCACGAUGAUACAUAUAUCCAGUUAUUUAUUCCUAAUGAUGAAUAGUAUUCCAAUUAUGUCAGUAUACUAAAACUUUUUUAAUCCCUUAUUUUUUUGAGAUUUAGUUUUUUUUUAAAUUUUUUUUCUCUUUUACAAAAUA
This 1006-nucleotide long non-coding RNA is filed under the name Equus caballus (horse). Its description in RNAcentral is "lncRNA (ENSECAG00000052530.1)". The record is from RNAcentral. Lineage: Eukaryota; Metazoa; Chordata; Mammalia; Perissodactyla; Equidae.